Non-coding RNA from Macaca mulatta (Rhesus monkey), 1350 nucleotides. The record is from RefSeq and is a predicted model, not a curated record. NCBI's taxonomy places the organism in Eukaryota, Metazoa, Chordata, Mammalia, Primates, Cercopithecidae.
CACACCUAAUUUUUGUGUUUUUUGUAGCGACAGGGUCUCCCUAGGUUGCCUAAGUUCUUUUUUUUUUUUUUAAGCUCGUCAUAUUUAGCAGUGGGGGGUUAUAUACCAACUUUAGUGACAGUGACAUUAAUAAGUUCUGAUAAUCCACUACCAUGGACACCAGCGAUACAUGGACAGCUGGGAAAGCGUUAUUUCUGGAUGUGUCUGUGAGGGUUUUCAGCAGGAGACUGGCGUGUGAGUUGAUGGACUAAGUGGCAAGUUCCACUCUCAAUGUGGGAGGGCAUGGAGAAGACAAAAAAGUAGGAGAAAGGCAAAUUCAUGCUCUUUCCUGGAGCUGGGACAUCCUUCUCUUACCAUUGGAUAUUAGAACUUCAGGUUCUCAGGCUUUGAACUUGGACUUGGACUUGCACCAGUGGCCAUGAGACAGACCUGAAGUACAGACAGACCUGGACCCCCAGCUUCCACUACCACAGACCUCAAGGGGCCUGCACCAGCACCAGGAGGCUCAUGACCAGGGCCAUGGAGAAGAAGAUGCCCAGGAAGAAGCGGUCCAUCACACGGGCCAGGCGCUUCCAGUCCUCAUGGCAGCGCUGUGCAGCUCGGUGGCUGCGGAAGGUAUUGGCAAUGGUGGCUACAUGGUGCAGUAGGGCUUCCUGGUGGCAUAGACAUCGUGGCUCGUGGCAAGGGCCCGCUGGGGGGCCACCUCCUCCUUUGGGAGACUGGGGGCUAGGGGAUAACUCAGGUGACCUGGACUGCCCACAGGGCUCCCCUCUUUCCUGCACGCACAGGCUCUGUGCCAGGUGUCCCAGCAGGAGGGCCCUAGCCCAGGCUGGCACUGGGCGGGCACUGGGACCACAGUAAUGCAGGUUCAUGAUAAGGAUAGUGAGUGCUGUUGAGAAUGUGACCAUGGUCAUAGUGGCCAUGUAGUACUUCCCUGCAAGAGAGACAGAAAGCCAAUUGGGACUCAAAACAAAAAGCCUGUGGAUCCUGAGCUUCCUAGUCACCUCUACACAAAUGGAAAUAAGCCCACCAUGAGGCUCUCCAGACCCUCCAAGCCCCAUGGAUGGAAGCAGGAAGGAGGUAAGGGCCAAGUUCUCCCCAUCCUUCAUUCCUACACGUGGGUCAUCAGAAGCUACUGCUCCCUAAUUGCUCCCCUCACUGCUGGAAGCUGCACUCAUACACAAUCCAGGACAGUCCUACUCUCAAAUAACGAUGGGCAUGAGCUGGGGCAAGAUACGAAUCCUUUUUGUACAAAUGGGAUAACCAGAGGACCUACUUCCUAGGUUUGUGGUGAUGUUUACCUGAGUUAAUAAAGGUCAAGUGCUUAGGGGAGUGCCUGGCACACAGUGA